AGAAUCAACGCUGGCGGCGUGCCUAACACAUGCAAGUCGCACGAGAAAGGGGAGCGAUCCCUGAGUAAAGUGGCGCACGGGUGAGUAACACGUGAAUAAUCUACCUCCGAGUGGGGAAUAACUGAGAGAAAUCUUAGCUAAUACCGCAUAACACUUACGAGUCAAAGCAGCAAUGCGCUUGGAGAGGAGUUCGCGGCAGAUUAGUUAGUUGGCGGGGUAAUGGCCCACCAAGACGAUGAUCUGUA
RNAcentral lists this ribosomal RNA (245 nucleotides) under uncultured bacterium. RNAcentral's name for it is "partial small subunit ribosomal RNA". It matches the Rfam family "Bacterial small subunit ribosomal RNA", at positions 26 to 285 of the family's 1533-position model. The record is from RNAcentral.